GUGCCAGCAGCCGCGGUAAUACGAAGGGUGCAAGCGUUACUCGGAAUUACUGGGCGUAAAGCGUGCGUAGGUGGUUGAUUAAGUCUGUCGUGAAAGCCCUGGGCUCAACCUGGGAAUUGCGAUGGAAACUGGUUGACUAGAGUGUGGCAGAGGGUAGUGGAAUUCCUGGUGUAGCAGUGAAAUGCGUAGAGAUCAGGAGGAACAUCCGUGGCGAAGGCGACUGCCUGGGCCAACACUGACACUGAGGCACGAAAGCGUGGGGAGCAAACAGGAUUAGAUACCCUGGUAGUCC
Molecule: ribosomal RNA, 292 nt
Filed under: uncultured microorganism
Description: partial 16S ribosomal RNA
Rfam family: Bacterial small subunit ribosomal RNA
Source: RNAcentral